RNAcentral lists this ribosomal RNA (468 nucleotides) under uncultured bacterium. RNAcentral's name for it is "partial 16S ribosomal RNA". It matches the Rfam family "Bacterial small subunit ribosomal RNA", at positions 28 to 507 of the family's 1533-position model. The record is from RNAcentral.
GACGAACGCUGGCGGCGUGCUUAACACAUGCAAGUCGAACGGAAAGGCCCUGCUUUUGUGGGGUGCUCGAGUGGCGAACGGGUGAGUAACACGUGAGUAACCUGCCCUUGACUUUGGGAUAACUUCAGGAAACUGGGGCUAAUACCGGAUAGGAGCUCCUGCUGCAUGGUGGGGGUUGGAAAGUUUCGGCGGUUGGGGAUGGACUCGCGGCUUAUCAGCUUGUUGGUGGGGUAGUGGCUUACCAAGGCUUUGACGGGUAGCCGGCCUGAGAGGGUGACCGGCCACCAUGGGACUGAGAUACGGCCCAGACUCCUACGGGAGGCAGCAGUGGGGAAUAUUGCACAAUGGGCGGAAGCCUGAUGCAGCAACGCCGCGUGCGUGAUGACGGCCUUCGGGUUGUAAACCGCUUUCGCCUGUGACGAAGCGUGAGUGACGGUAAUGGGUAAAGAAGCACCGGCUAACUACGUG